This 907-nucleotide ribosomal RNA is filed under the name Mycobacterium pseudoshottsii. Its description in RNAcentral is "bacterial SSU rRNA". It matches the Rfam family "Bacterial small subunit ribosomal RNA", at positions 110 to 1016 of the family's 1533-position model. The record is from RNAcentral. Lineage: Bacteria; Bacillati; Actinomycetota; Actinomycetes; Mycobacteriales; Mycobacteriaceae.
GUAACACGUGGGCGAUCUGCCCUGCACUUCGGGAUAAGCCUGGGAAACUGGGUCUAAUACCGGAUAGGACCACGGGAUUCAUGUCCUGUGGUGGAAAGCUUUUGCGGUGUGGGAUGGGCCCGCGGCCUAUCAGCUUGUUGGUGGGGUAACGGCCUACCAAGGCGACGACGGGUAGCCGGCCUGAGAGGGUGUCCGGCCACACUGGGACUGAGAUACGGCCCAGACUCCUACGGGAGGCAGCAGUGGGGAAUAUUGCACAAUGGGCGCAAGCCUGAUGCAGCGACGCCGCGUGGGGGAUGACGGCCUUCGGGUUGUAAACCUCUUUCACCAUCGACGAAGGUUCGGGUUUUCUCGGAUUGACGGUAGAUGGAGAAGAAGCACCGGCCAACUACGUGCCAGCAGCCGCGGUAAUACGUAGGGUGCGAGCGUUGUCCGGAAUUACUGGGCGUAAAGAGCUCGUAGGUGGUUUGUCGCGUUGUUCGUGAAAUCUCACGGCUUAACUGUGAGCGUGCGGGCGAUACGGGCAGACUAGAGUACUGCAGGGGAGACUGGAAUUCCUGGUGUAGCGGUGGAAUGCGCAGAUAUCAGGAGGAACACCGGUGGCGAAGGCGGGUCUCUGGGCAGUAACUGACGCUGAGGAGCGAAAGCGUGGGGAGCGAACAGGAUUAGAUACCCUGGUAGUCCACGCCGUAAACGGUGGGUACUAGGUGUGGGUUUCCUUCCUUGGGAUCCGUGCCGUAGCUAACGCAUUAAGUACCCCGCCUGGGGAGUACGGCCGCAAGGCUAAAACUCAAAGGAAUUGACGGGGGCCCGCACAAGCGGCGGAGCAUGUGGAUUAAUUCGAUGCGACGCGAAGAACCUUACCUGGGUUUGACAUGCACAGGACUCGUCUAGAGAUAGGCGUUCC